Molecule: long non-coding RNA, 1259 nt
Organism: Tribolium madens (black flour beetle)
Lineage: Eukaryota; Metazoa; Arthropoda; Insecta; Coleoptera; Tenebrionidae
Exons: 3
Source: RefSeq, a predicted model, not a curated record
UGCUUGGCUAUAUAUAGAUCAAAAUAUAUUAAGAAAGAUACAAUAGCUGUUGUUGAUAAUCUGAAAAAAGAUCAAUAUUCUCAACAAUCAAUUUCAUGGUUAAAUAGUUUUCAUAAUCCAAAUAUAAAACACGCAUUGAACAAUAGUGAAGUGAAAAUAUGUGGAUCAAAAGUUGACGGGUUUGAUGAAAAAUCCAAUACUGUUUACCAAUAUCACGGUUGUUUUUGGCACAGUUGUACAAAAUGUUAUAGUUCAGAUUUUAUUAAUAAUAAGAAUAAAACAACUAUGGAAGAUCUUUAUGAGAAAACAAUAGAAAGAAGUGAGCAAAUAAAAAAAGCUGGUUAUAAUUUAAUAGAAAUGUGGGAAUGUGAGUGGACAAAGUCAAAAGAAUAUAAGAAAGAAAUGAAACAAAUUGAAGAAGAAAUUAAGGAAUUGGAAGAACUUAAUCCUAGAACCGCAUUCUUUGGUGGAAGAACGAACGCAACAAAAUUGAGCGUUAAGGCAAAGAAAUUGAAAUAUAUAGAUAUUUGCAGUUUAUAUCCAACAGUACAAUGUUACGAUGAUUAUCCAGUUGGACAUCCUACUAAAAUAUUCAAACCUCGUACGUAUAAUUCAGAUUGGUAUGGUUUAAUAAAAUGUGCAAUUUUACCACCAAAAGGUUUGUAUCACCCCGUUUUACCCGUUAAGAAUAAAACCAAAUCUGGUGAUGAAAAACUAACAUUUCCAUUAUGUCAAUUGUGCGCAAAAUUAAAUAAUCAAAAAGAUAAAUGUUCUCAUACGGAAUCUCAAGGAAUUAUCAGAGGAACCUGGUGUACCAACGAAGUAAAAAAAGCAAUUGAAAAGGGGUACAAAAUAAUAACUAUUGAUGAGGUUUGGCAUUUUUACAAAAAAUCAUCAUAUUUAUUUAAAGGAUAUGUGAAAGCGUUUAUGAAAAUUAAAUUAGAAACAAGUCCUUGGCAGGAUGAUUUUGAAUCAGAAGAGGAAUAUAGAAAAACCGUAAAAGAAAUUCUAGGUGUUGAAUUGGGUAAAAUAGAAAAUAAUCCUGGAAAGAGGGCUGUUGCGAAAAUCUGCUUAAAUUCUUUAUGGGAGGGUAGAAAUUUUUUUAAAUUUUAUUCGUGCCACUAUUAGUUUGUUGUGUCGACUAAGCUGUGAGGACGCCUGCAGUUUAAAAGAGUUUUACGAAACAGUUACCAAAAAAUUACUUUUGUUUAAUGAUGUUGAAAUUAUCGUGGACUUUACUUUAUUUCUUAAAAUGACCA